CAGCCGCCGCGGUAAUACGUAGGUGGCAAGCGUUGUCCGGAAUUAUUGGGCGUAAAGGGCUCGCAGGCGGUUUCUUAAGUCUGAUGUGAAAGCCCCCGGCUCAACCGGGGAGGGUCAUUGGAAACUGGGAAACUUGAGUGCAGAAGAGGAGAGUGGAAUUCCGCGUGUAGCGGUGAAAUGCGUAGAGAUGUGGAGGAACACCAGUGGCGAAGGCGACUCUCUGGUCUGUAUCUGACGCUGAGGAGCGAAAGCGUGGGGAGCGAACAGGAUUAGAUACCCCCGUAGUCCCUGUCUCUUAUAC
RNAcentral lists this ribosomal RNA (301 nucleotides) under uncultured bacterium. Its description in RNAcentral is "partial 16S ribosomal RNA". It matches the Rfam family "Bacterial small subunit ribosomal RNA", at positions 509 to 807 of the family's 1533-position model. The record is from RNAcentral.